Molecule: ribosomal RNA, 252 nt
Filed under: uncultured bacterium
Lineage: Bacteria
Description: partial 16S ribosomal RNA
Rfam family: Bacterial small subunit ribosomal RNA
Source: RNAcentral
CGUAGGGGCAAGCGUUGUCCGGAAUGACUGGGCGUAAAGGGUACGUAGGCGGUUAUGUAAGUCAGGUGUGAAAGGCUAGGGCUCAACCCUAGUAAGCACUUGAAACUGCGUAACUUGAGUCGAGGAGAGGAAAGUGGAAUUCCUGGUGUAGCGGUGAAAUGCGUAGAUAUCAGGAGGAAUACCAGUGGCGAAGGCGACUUUCUGGCCUUGGACUGACGCUGAGGUACGAAAGCGUGGGGAGCAAACAGGAUU